CGAGCGUUGUCCGGAAUUAUUGGGCGUAAAGAGCUCGUAGGCGGCUGGUCGCGUCUGCCGUGAAAGGCCUGGGCUUAACUUGGGUUUUGCGGUGGAUACGGGCCGGCUAGAGGUAGGUAGGGGAGAACGGAAUUCCUGGUGUAGCGGUGAAAUGCGCAGAUAUCAGGAGGAACACCGGUGGCGAAGGCGGUUCUCUGGGCCUAUCCUGACGCUGAGGAGCGAAAGCGUGGGGAGCGAACAGGAUUAGAUACCCUGGUAGUCCACGCUGUAAACGUUGGGCGCUAGGUGUGGGGGGCCUCUCCGGCUCUCUGUGCCGCAGCUAACGCAUUAAGCGCCCCGCCUGGGGAGUACGGCCGCAAGGCUAAAACUCAAAGGAAUUGACGGGGGCCCGCACAAGCGGCGGAGCAUGCGGAUUAAUUCGAUGCAACGCGAAGAACCUUACCUGGGUUUGACAUGGCCGCAAAACCUGCAGAGAUGUAGGGUCCUUCGGGGGCGGUCAC
This 500-nucleotide ribosomal RNA is filed under the name uncultured Actinomycetes bacterium. Its description in RNAcentral is "bacterial SSU rRNA". It matches the Rfam family "Bacterial small subunit ribosomal RNA", at positions 535 to 1035 of the family's 1533-position model. Lineage: Bacteria; Bacillati; Actinomycetota; Actinomycetes. The record is from RNAcentral.